Molecule: non-coding RNA, 865 nt
Organism: Schizosaccharomyces pombe (fission yeast)
Lineage: Eukaryota; Fungi; Ascomycota; Schizosaccharomycetes; Schizosaccharomycetales; Schizosaccharomycetaceae
Source: the annotation of a GenBank genome assembly
ACGACUAGUCAAUAUACCAUGAGUUCGACGAAGAGGAUGCGUGGCUUCACCUAGGGCUUUCAUGUGAUCUCCAAAAACAUAUCGACAUUCUUCAUUAGCCUUUAAAAGUUCAAAAGCUUCAUCACCGUAAUGUGCCUCGCCCUUCCAGAUACUAGUGACAAGUGCAUAUAUAAUCAAUCCGAAAACGCCGCCUCCAAAUAUCACAAUCGAAAAAUUUCCAAUAUUAGCAGAAGUUCUGUAUGCUUUUUGAGGAGCCGUCAAAUCCUUCCAAGCUUUGUUAGACGGAUCUUUGAAAAUUCGUGCCAGGCGCCCUUCUUCUUGUGGUUUCCGUUGUUUAUUGAGAGAAUCAGAAGCCAAAGAGUAUAAUCUCCUCUGAACCAAAGCUGAAGAAAACCUUGUAGCGCUCUGCCUUUGAAUAGUACGAAUCAUCUAGUUGAUACAAAAAGAUGCAAAGAAGAUGUAUAUAGUGACGAGGCUAAACGGCAUAAAGGCAAUGUCUAGUGAGCUCGACAUAGGAUGCAAUGUAGUUCGUUAAAUUUUUGAGCUUUAGCAGUGAUAUGGUUGUUACACCUCAUUAUUCCGUUAGUCAGGUAAUUUAGUAAAAAGCAUACUAAAAUUUGAGAGUAUUUAGCUUGAAAAGAAAGGAGUAAUAAUGCAACAUCAUGAUUAAACAACGAUAUAUUAAAAGUCAGGGUUAUUUUAAAAUGAACGAAAGCGAAUUAGGUGGAAGAUGAUUUAGAAAAUUUUCAGUCACUAAUAAAUUCAAUAAACGCACGGUCAAUUAAUUUAUUAAAUUAAUAUAUUAACAAUCGAAGUAAAACCGUAAUUGAAAUCCUGAAUGUUGAUUUGCUGAUUAAGAACAGCA